CGUACAAAUCCGAUUUUGGCAUUCCGAUUUUUCCAACUUAUUUGUUGGGAGAUGAAAGAGUGCCGCUGAUGGGUGCGUCCGUGUUGAUUUUUCGAUUUUUCGAAAAAUUGGUGUGGUCACCUGAAGAUGAGAUAGGCGAUGCUCGAGAGUCAGGGAGGGAAAAGUUGAUUUCUUUGUUGAAAUUGGUUUUUUGUUUUCUGGCUUCGUCGCGCUGUUUGAUAAGAGUAACGCUGUGGGCGGGAUGCAAUAUUCUGUUUUUCUGUUGCCGUGUUGAUUUGCGCCAAGCUAAGAAAUUUCAAUUUCUGUUCUGCUGGCAAUGGUUGGCAUGGUGGCUUGCAGGAGAAUAUACGUUCCGGUGCUGCGAAUUGAUGAAUUUCUGUUCAGUAGUGCUGAUGUGGUAUUGUUUUUCUGUAGGUAAGAAAAAUGAAUAGAGCUGCUGUUGAUCAGUGCGAAAAAUUGAACGGCGAUGUGCGAAAAAAUUGAGUUUUUGAUCGUCUAGAAAAUCAGAAUGUCAAAAUUCUGUGCUGAUGCAAAAAUAUAAUAUUUGGAUCUCAAAUCAGA
Molecule: unclassified non-coding RNA, 561 nt
Filed under: Gracilariopsis lemaneiformis
Lineage: Eukaryota; Rhodophyta; Florideophyceae; Gracilariales; Gracilariaceae
Source: RNAcentral